UGUCAGACAAUACGAUAUACUGUUAAUAUAUCUUCGAGGAGUAUCCUCUCUGACAG
This 56-nucleotide transfer RNA is filed under the name Salpa thompsoni. Its description in RNAcentral is "tRNA-Asn". Lineage: Eukaryota; Metazoa; Chordata; Thaliacea; Salpida; Salpidae. The record is from RNAcentral.